This is an RNA transcript of Zingiber officinale, 3469 nucleotides long. RefSeq lists it as uncharacterized. The transcript is spliced from 9 exons. NCBI's taxonomy places the organism in Eukaryota, Viridiplantae, Streptophyta, Magnoliopsida, Zingiberales, Zingiberaceae. The record is from RefSeq and is a predicted model, not a curated record.
AACGGAGUCAUGGACAGUGUUCGUCCACUGGGAAACUGCCACGCGUCCUAUCCGAUACCAUGCGUCGCCGGCCCUUGUUGAUAUCGAAAUUGAAUCGGGCCUCCUUGAAACCAGGCGGGAUAUGUGGAUCAGAGAUGGUCCACUGCCUGCUCCGCUCUAGUCCGGCCCGCCGCCACCCUCCUCAGGUUCCGUCCGAAGCCGCUUCACUGCCGAAGACUCCCGGUCUCCGCCUUCUACCUAACUUCCUUCUCCUCCUUCUGCGGUAGUCCCAUGGACGGCCUCAGUCCUGCCACUAUCCUCGUCCUCUCUGGCAAGUCCCCUCAAGAGGACGCCCUCGCUCUAUCACUCAAAUGGAGGUCGGAUACAGUGAAGUUGAUCGACGAAGAGGAACCAGAGACUAGGGUUUUAGUUGGUUUCGAGGCCGAGGCCGCCACCUUUGAUCCUCGUACAUACAUGGGCGCCCUCAGCACAAGCCGGUUCGUGCGGCUCCUCAUAUUGUCCCCGAAGAUUCCCUCCACCCAUGACCUCGUUUCCAAGUGGGAGCAACCGAAACCCAUCUCGUUUUUCUCCUCAUUCCAGUUCUCGAUUCGUUUAUUGGGUUUUGAAUCCCCCGCAUUGGGUUUUUGUAUCGUGGAUAGGAACUUCGCUGAGCUUUCUCUGGGCACAGUCUGUGUUUCUGAUCUGCAGUACAAAGGAAGAGGUCUUCAUGAAAUUGCAAUUUUGGUUUUGGUUCUCGUUCACUGUUUCUUUGUUUUCUCUUGAGUCUUUGAAGUUUGUUAUUCAUAAAAGAAUCUCUCUCUCUCUCUCUCUCUCUGACUAUGAAGGUCGAGUGAAGAAUGUUUAGGAAUCGCCCAUUGGUUGCCUCCUUUUUUGGUUGCCUCCUUUUCUCCUUCACAUUGCAGAUGGAAGGAAGCUACCUCUUUUGCAGUAUGGUGUAUCUCUUGCUCUAUCUCUUGCAGUAUGGUGUAUCUCUUUUGGCUCUUCUUUCAAUUUUUUUUCUUCUCAAUUUAACUUUUGACCAAUUAUCUGUUGAUUUAUGGAUAUGAUCAAAUUUCAGGUUUGCCAAAUCUUGAUGUUAGAAUUAAGUGGCCGAAUGAUCUUUAUCUAAAUGGCCUGAAAGUUGGUGGAAUUCUUUGUACUUCAACUUAUAGAUCAAAGAAUUUCAAUGUUUGUGCGGGCAAUGGAUUGAACUUGGACAAUGAGAAUCCAACUACAUGUUUGAAUGCUGCACUGCAAGAGAUCAACCCAAGUUCACUUUGCCUAAGUAGAGAAGAAGUGUUUGCAUGAUUUUUCAAUAAAUUCGAGACUCUUUUUGAGAUUUUCUUGACUGAAGGUUUUCAGCCUCUUGAGGAGCUUUACUAUAUAAGACAUGGCCUCACAGCUCGUUGACGCCACCCCUUCACUCUCCGCCAUCAUCUUCCUCUAGUCAAGAUUGUGCAAAGUCUCAUGGUCGCUUGCGAACUGCCUCAUCUUCCCAGCAUCGAUGCAUGCGCCAAAUUUGACGUCGGAGCUGCCGCAAGGCAUGGAGGCCCGACAUCACCACCAACCGCAUCGACGAUUGACAAGUCCAUCAAGGACGCCUUCACUGGCAAGGCCUCCGACACGAAAUCCACUGACAAAAUUCCUGCGAAAAGAAAAUUUGAGAAACACAAGAAAAAAGUUCUCCAUUAUGAGAGCUUGCUUCAGAAAAAUCCUUUUUGUCCAAACUGUUCCAUCGCCUGGUUACUCUCAACAUUGCAUGUCGGGAUGGUGAGAAGAAUGUAUCUAUUCUUGAGCGCCUCAUUAGCAUAUGUCCCAAUCUCAAGGACCUCGGACUCAAUCAUGUCACCUCUCUAGAAAAACUUGUUGGCCUUUCUACACAGGGCUCCACAGCUGGUAGACCUUGGAAUUGGCAUUCUCAUAGGAGAAGAUCGUUCAUGAUUUCUCUCCAAGCUUGAAUAUGCUUUUGCUCACUUAAAACAUCUGAAGAAUCUAUCUUGGAAAGCUGGACCAUUUUACUUACCAACAAUAUAUUCAAUUUGUGAAGGUCUUGCAGCACUGUGUCUCCAUCAGUCUAGCAUACAAACACCAGAGCUCUCAAAAGUAGUUAGCCAGUGUAAAACUCUUCAACAGCUAUGGGUUAGGGACUUAAUUGAGGACGACAGAAAUGGGCCUCAUUGCUGUCUUUUCUGGUUGUGUAAUGCGUGAGUCUGUUCUCUAUUUUUGCCGGCAGAUGACUAAUUCUGCCCUCCUUACUAUUGCUAAUAAUCGCCCCAAUCUCACAUAUUUCCACUCUGCAUCAUGAAGCCUUACACCCCUGAUUGGCUGAUUAUAUUACUCAAGAACCUCUAGAUGCUGGAUUUGGGGCUAUUGUUGAAUCCUGCUAGGACCUCUCUCCAUAUCUGGUCUUCUUACUGAUUGCGUGUUCACAACAAUUGGGGCCUCAGCAAAUCGUCUUGAGAGGCUCUCAGUUGGUUGUGGUGGUGAUGGAGAUGCAGGUCUUCAUUACAUUCUAUCUGGUUGUAGGAAAUUAUGCGUGCUGGAAAUUAGGAAAUGUCCGUUUGGGAUCAAGGCAUUGUUGGACAAUCCAGAUAAACUGGAGACAAUGCAAUGCCUGAUGUCGUAUGGGGGAAUGCAGAUUAUUAGCUAAGAAGAUGCCACGGCUUCACAUGGAGGUUAUUGAUGAGAAUGGAUGAGGGUCGUUGCAGUCAGUGAUCAUUUCUCUGUCAAAAAACUCUACAUUUACAAUAGUAUUACUGGCCCAAGAAUUGAUGCCCCACCUUCUCUCUUGACUCUUUGGUGAAAUCAGAUUUUCCUAUUAAAGUGGAAGGGAAAAGAUAGGUAUGCGUGCGGUCGGUACCCGCAGCUGCCUGCGCCUCGUGUGGCGUCAAAGCCGGCAUUUGAAGAGGGCUGGGCACCGCACUUAGCGUUUGAAGCCAGUGGGAUUCUCGGCUUCAUCCUGGAAGGGCAGAAACGAUUUGAGCAUACAAAAUGUUACCUUAACCAACAAUUCUUCAUCAGUAAUUCUCGAGGAUUUGAGGGCUGUUUGUUAUACCACACUGCCACAUUCGAUGGCAUCUUUCUAGCGUAAGCCAAACAAACAGAUGAAGAAUCUAGAAAUGCACAUCACAUCAGACGAGUGAUCUUGAAGGUUCAGAAUGCCACAGUCGAUGCUGUUGUUCAAUCCUUGCUGUCUGAUCAAUUUUGCAGCCAAAUUCAGCUGGAAACAAUCGCAAAAGUUGUGAGAAGACUUGCCGGUGAGUUCUUCGAUGGGCUGGAAUCGAUCGGCUUUGCCAGGGACACGAAAACCAUGAACUAUUACUCGAUGCCCUUUGCAAAGAGGAGAAAGUUGAAGUGGCUUGAGGAGCAUUUUCAGCACUCAAGCCUCCCAUUGCUCCCGAGGCUUAUACUUUCAAUAUUUUCGUUCAUGUUGUUUGAAAAACCUUAUUACUCUUUACAAACUCAUUUUUAAAAACAUUUUUUUAAAAAA